Molecule: long non-coding RNA, 1684 nt
Organism: Nerophis ophidion (straightnose pipefish)
Lineage: Eukaryota; Metazoa; Chordata; Actinopteri; Syngnathiformes; Syngnathidae
Exons: 3
Source: RefSeq, a predicted model, not a curated record
GGAGUAAACAUGGCGGCGUGCGUUGCGCGUGGGGUAAUCGCGGCGACGUGCGUCGCGUGUAGGGUAGUCCCGGCGACGUGCGUCGCGUGUGGGGUAGUCCUGACCACGUACGUCACGUCUCUCACGCGAUCGGUUGCCGUAGCGACGCGUGUCGCUGCGGAGGCGCGCCCGCUCGUCCUCCUCCUCUGCAGGAUAGCCACGCAGCACCUCCGCGUAGCUCCUACGAGGCGGUUGUUGACGACGGUCCGCAAAAUGAUAAUCUCCAUCAUCAUAGCGGCCGUGUUGUGGUUGAGGACGAGGGGGCGGGGUGAUCUCGCGCCGCGAUCGCUGUUUACGUCCGCGAGGACGGACGAGGACCCAUUCCUCGUCAUGCCACGCCGCCAUUUUUCGACAACCGAAAGUGAUAUUUAAUGUAAAAUGGAUUUUGUGUAUAAAAAUAUAGUAGGAAUGAAGGUAGGUAGGUAGAAAGAAAAAAUAAAUUGGUAGAAAAGAAAUAAAAUAGAAAGACUCCGGCGCGUUUCAGUGACGUCACGUCAGCGCAAACCGGAUGUCUUUCGAAAAAAACCACAGAAGAAGAAGACCAGCUUCUUCGAAGGAAAAAUAAUAUAAAGAAAAUAAACAACUAAGGGCGGUUCUAUACAGAACGAUGGAAAACUCCAAGGUCGUUGGAGAACAAGGACAUCCGGAGCACUCCCUGCGUCGGAUACGUCCAUGUUGCUAGGUCCAUGACCCUGUAACUAAGGUAAGUAUUUUAGUAUUGUUUCUGUCUUUUUUCAGUCGUUGGAGUAGAGGACAACGUCCGUUCCCCAAGGUGAGAGACAUGACAAUAAAGGUAAGUGUUUUUGAUGUUGUUGUAAUAUGUUCUUUCUUUCAUUUUGUUGUUGUUUUUUUACAGGUACUCGUGGGAAGACGAGGACUACCGGGGCAUCCCUUGCACCAGAGACGUCCGGAUUCCCAGGUGAGUAGUGAGGUAAGUAUUGUUGUGAGUAAUGAUGUGUGUGUUGGUGUGGAUGAGAGGUGAAACCAGGAGGGUCCCCAAUGGGCGGAGCGCGAGCCGUGUGUGGACCAGAGGCACAGGCGGGUUAGGGUUGGGGUUGGGGUUGGGGUUAGGGUUAGAGUUAGGAGUUAGGGUUAGGUAUAAAGAGAAGGAGAGAUGGGUAGGUGUUAGGUGUAAAGAAAAGAGAGAUGGGUAGGUUUUAGGAGUGAAAAAGGAGAGUGGUUAGGGUUAGGGUAAGGGGUGGGGGAAGGGCGAUAAAAGAGUGUAAAAAAGAAUAUAAGAGGGGUGUGCACGGUCCGUCUAUGGCCCAGCGGGCUCGCACUCACGCCUCAUUGAGGCCCCCCGGAUGUCUGGUCCCCAACUUUGUGAUCCACAGGCGUUCGGCACGCUUCCGUUGGGCCACACUCCAUCUCGCGUCAGUCUGAACAACGCACACCCGAACAGAAGUCCACCCGUGCCGGAUAAAAUGUUGUACCAGCGGCCGGAAGACCUUACCACUGUGGCGGUUCAAAAGCCAGGGGAUGUGCUGCAGGGGAAUGCCGCUCCUGGUCAAGGGCGGACCUCCGGGGGAACUGACCCGGGCCCUGAUCAGCAACUCGCCCAGGCUAGGGUUUUUGCGGAAGGCCGACACCAGGUAAUACUCUUUCAGCCGUUCACUCUUUUCCACAAAGGCCCUGAAAUUUUCCU